AGAGAUGGGGUCGUCUGAAAAGGUCUUUCAAAGAAUAGUUUGAAGCUGCAAUCUACAAUUAUUAACGUUUGAUAUGUUACGUAGUUUUUUUUAAGCGGGAUAGCUUACAAAAAUGAAGUCUAGGCAGAAGUAUCUUUUGUGGUAAGAGAAAGUCACAAUGAUCAUGAUUGGAUCGAACCCGUCAAUCAAAUCUUGAUAAAGUUAGUUUGCGAAGGACUCCAUUUAGAACAAGGUGACUCAAUUUAGAACAAGAUUCCAAAUCUUGCUUCUAGAUCUUUGAUACUAAGAGGACAAUAAAGUCGCACUGAAAUUUGGGGGAGCAACCCUAUGAGCCAACCAACUAUGAAUUCUAUCUGUGUGGUUUCUUGCCCCCUUUCAAGACGGGUUUACAGAACAACGACCCUGUUCAAAAGGUCCUUGACCAUUUUCACACACGAUAGUGGCACUUGAAGUAGCCUCGAAGCACUAUCUUACUUGACUAAUAUGGGUCAAGCUUAAUGGUACGGAUUCUUGGACAAGGGCACUAUUAAGUCAAAUCUAGGUCAUUAAAUAGUACUAGUAAUGUAUCGGAGGGAGUAAAAAGCGGCCCAGCUCUGUUAGUAGGCUUGAAAAAACUAUCUUGGUCUUUCUUGAAUGUCAUAAUCGUCAACUAGGCUUCACGGCUUUGUAACUGGUUUUCUCAAAAGGCUUCAUAUAAAAAGAGAUAUUAUUCUAUGUCCAUCCUCGUUAUAAAUCUACCAUAAAUAAGAUGCGCUUUACAAAACAUUUCUUUGUUUCAAUCGGAUUCUCAACAGAACCUGAAACAAAUUUUUUCGACCACUGCAUUAGGUGGAGAUGGAUCCAACAAUUUGAGUUCGUCAAUGUAAGAGUCUGUUAUAGAAAUUCA
Long non-coding RNA from Cucurbita moschata (crookneck pumpkin), 886 nucleotides. RefSeq lists it as uncharacterized. Lineage: Eukaryota; Viridiplantae; Streptophyta; Magnoliopsida; Cucurbitales; Cucurbitaceae. The record is from RefSeq and is a predicted model, not a curated record. The transcript is spliced from 3 exons.